UUUAUCAAAAAAAAAACUUUAAGUUUAAUUUUGUAAGAAACUUAUGCUUGAUUUUUCCCAAUUGGCUGAAUACAGUUACUUUUAUUUGUCACUAAUUAUCGACUCUUGCUUGAAUACUAGCUCUAUUAUUAAAAAAAAAAUGUUAGAACCUUCAGAUAAAUCGAACACUAAAUGUGUUGUUUAUGACACUUACAAGUGAUUCAAAUAAAAAUCUAAUCGGCCGGGUCAAACAAAGUUCCGACAAGCAGACUUAUA
RNAcentral lists this long non-coding RNA (255 nucleotides) under Brassica napus (rape). Its description in RNAcentral is "long non-coding RNA (BNAP_LNC022858)". Lineage: Eukaryota; Viridiplantae; Streptophyta; Magnoliopsida; Brassicales; Brassicaceae. The record is from RNAcentral.